CACGUAGGAGGCAAACGUUAUCCGGAUUUACUGGGCGUAAAGCGCGUGUAGGUGGUUCUGUAAGUAGGGCGUGAAAGCUCCCGGCUCAACUGGGAGAGGCCGUUCUAAACUGCAGAGCUAGAGGAUGGUAGAGGGAGGUGGAAUUCCAGGUGUAGCGGUGGAAUGCGCAGAUAUCUGGAGGAACACCAGUGGCGAAGGCGGCCUCCUGGACCAUUCCUGACACUCAGACGCGAAAGCUAGGGUAGCAAACGGGAUUAGAUACCCCCGUAGUCCCU
Molecule: ribosomal RNA, 275 nt
Filed under: uncultured prokaryote
Description: partial 16S ribosomal RNA
Rfam family: Bacterial small subunit ribosomal RNA
Source: RNAcentral